GACGAACGCUGGCGGCGUGCUUAACACAUGCAAGUCGAACGAUGAACCCGGAGCUUGCUCCGGUGGAUUAGUGGCGAACGGGUGGGUAACACGUGAGUAACCUGCCCUUGACUCUGGGAUAACUGCGGGAAACUGUAGCUAAUACCGGAUACGACCCUCGGCGGCAUCGCCAGGGGGUGGAAAGAAUUUCGGUCAAGGAUGGACUCGCGGCCCAUCAGCUAGUUGGUGAGGUAACGGCUCACCAAGGCGACGACGGGUAGCCGGCCUGAGAGGGUGACCGGCCACACUGGGACUGAGACACGGCCCAGACUCCUACGGGAGGCGGCAGUGGGGAAUAUUGCACAAUGGGCGCAAGCCUGAUGCAGCAACGCCGCGUGAGGGAUGACGGCCUUCGGGUUGUAAACCUCUUUUAGUAGGGAAGAAGCGAAAGUGACGGUACCUGCAGAAAAAGCACCGGCUAACUACGUGCCAGCCGCCGCGGUAA
This 484-nucleotide ribosomal RNA is filed under the name uncultured bacterium. Its description in RNAcentral is "partial 16S ribosomal RNA". It matches the Rfam family "Bacterial small subunit ribosomal RNA", at positions 28 to 523 of the family's 1533-position model. The record is from RNAcentral.